This 1484-nucleotide ribosomal RNA is filed under the name Synechococcus sp. LTW-R. RNAcentral describes it as "bacterial SSU rRNA". It matches the Rfam family "Bacterial small subunit ribosomal RNA". The record is from RNAcentral. Lineage: Bacteria; Bacillati; Cyanobacteriota; Cyanophyceae; Synechococcales; Synechococcaceae.
CAACGGAGAGUUUGAUCCUGGCUCAGGAUGAACGCUGGCGGCGUGCUUAACACAUGCAAGUCGAACGAACCUUCGGGUUAGUGGCGGACGGGUGAGUAACGCGUGAGAAUCUGCCCUCAGGAGGGGGAUAACGGUUGGAAACGACCGCUAAUACCCCAUAUGCCGAGAGGUGAAAUGAAUUUCGCCUGAGGAUGAGCUCGCGUCUGAUUAGUUAGUUGGUGGGGUAAUGGCCUACCAAGACAUCGAUCAGUAGCUGGUCUGAGAGGAUGAUCAGCCACACUGGGACUGAGACACGGCCCAGACUCCUACGGGAGGCAGCAGUGGGGAAUUUUCCGCAAUGGGCGAAAGCCUGACGGAGCAACGCCGCGUGAGGGAUGAAGGCCUCUGGGCUGUAAACCUCUUUUAUCAAGGAAGAAGAUCUGACGGUACUUGAUGAAUAAGCCACGGCUAAUUCCGUGCCAGCAGCCGCGGUAAUACGGGAGUGGCAAGCGUUAUCCGGAAUUAUUGGGCGUAAAGCGUCCGCAGGCGGUCUGUCAAGUCUGCUGUUAAAGCGUGGAGCUUAACUCCAUUUCGGCAGUGGAAACUGACAGACUAGAGUGUGGUAGGGGCAGAGGGAAUUCCCGGUGUAGCGGUGAAAUGCGUAGAUAUCGGGAAGAACACCAGUGGCGAAGGCGCUCUGCUGGGCCAUAACUGACGCUCAUGGACGAAAGCCAGGGGAGCGAAAGGGAUUAGAUACCCCUGUAGUCCUGGCCGUAAACGAUGAACACUAGGUGUCGGGGGAAUCGACCCCCUCGGUGUCGUAGCCAACGCGUUAAGUGUUCCGCCUGGGGAGUACGCACGCAAGUGUGAAACUCAAAGGAAUUGACGGGGGCCCGCACAAGCGGUGGAGUAUGUGGUUUAAUUCGAUGCAACGCGAAGAACCUUACCAGGGUUUGACAUCCUGCGAAUCUCUUGGAAACGAGAGAGUGCCUUCGGGAACGCAGUGACAGGUGGUGCAUGGCUGUCGUCAGCUCGUGUCGUGAGAUGUUGGGUUAAGUCCCGCAACGAGCGCAACCCACGUCGUUAGUUGCCAGCAUUUAGUUGGGCACUCUAGCGAGACCGCCGGUGAUAAACCGGAGGAAGGUGUGGAUGACGUCAAGUCAUCAUGCCCCUUACAUCCUGGGCUACACACGUACUACAAUGCUACGGACAAAGGGCAGCAAACUCGCGAGAGCUAGCAAAUCCCAUAAACCGUGGCUCAGUUCAGAUCGUAGGCUGCAACUCGCCUACGUGAAGGAGGAAUCGCUAGUAAUCGCAGGUCAGCAUACUGCGGUGAAUACGUUCCCGGGCCUUGUACACACCGCCCGUCACACCAUGGAAGUUGGCCACGCCCGAAGCCGUUACUCCAACCCUUGUGGAGGAGGACGUCGAAGGUGGGGCUGAUGACUGGGGUGAAGUCGUAACAAGGUAGCCGUACCGGAAGGUGCGGCUGGAUCACCUCCUAA